AUUGAACGCUGGCGGCAGGCCUAACACAUGCAAGUCGAGCGGCAGCGGAAAGUAGCUUGCUACUUUGCCGGCGAGCGGCGGACGGGUGAGUAAUGUCUGGGAAACUGCCUGAUGGAGGGGGAUAACUACUGGAAACGGUAGCUAAUACCGCAUAAUGUCGCAAGACCAAAGAGGGGGACCUUCGUGCCUCUUGCCAUCAGAUGUGCCCAGAUGGGAUUAGCUAGUUGGUGGGGUAACGGCUCACCUAGGCGACGAUCCCUAGCUGGUCUGAGAGGAUGACCAGCCACACUGGAACUGAGACACGGUCCAGACUCCUACGGGAGGCAGCAGUGGGGAAUAUUGCACAAUGGGCGCAAGCCUGAUGCAGCCAUGCCGCGUGUAUGAAGAAGGCCUUCGGGUUGUAAAGUACUUUCAGCGGGGAGGAAGGUGUUGAGGUUAAUAACCUCAGCAAUUGACGUUACCCGCAGAAGAAGCACCGGCUAACUCCGUGCCAGCCGCCGCCGUAA
RNAcentral lists this ribosomal RNA (506 nucleotides) under uncultured bacterium. RNAcentral's name for it is "partial 16S ribosomal RNA". It matches the Rfam family "Bacterial small subunit ribosomal RNA", at positions 30 to 523 of the family's 1533-position model. The record is from RNAcentral.